AGCGAACGCUGGCGGCAGGCUUAACACAUGCAAGUCGAGCGGGCGUAGCAAUACGUCAGCGGCAGACGGGUGAGUAACGCGUGGGAACGUACCUUUUGGUUCGGAACAACACAGGGAAACUUGUGCUAAUACCGGAUAAGCCCUUACGGGGAAAGAUUUAUCGCCGAAAGAUCGGCCCGCGUCUGAUUAGCUAGUUGGUGAGGUAACGGCUCACCAAGGCGACGAUCAGUAGCUGGUCUGAGAGGAUGAUCAGCCACAUUGGGACUGAGACACGGCCCAAACUCCUACGGGAGGCAGCAGUGGGGAAUAUUGGACAAUGGGCGCAAGCCUGAUCCAGCCAUGCCGCGUGAGUGAUGAAGGCCCUAGGGUUGUAAAGCUCUUUUGUGCGGGAAGAUAAUGACGGUACCGCAAGAAUAAGCCCCGGCUAACUUCGUGCCAGCCGCCGCCGUAAC
Molecule: ribosomal RNA, 452 nt
Filed under: uncultured bacterium
Lineage: Bacteria
Description: bacterial SSU rRNA
Rfam family: Bacterial small subunit ribosomal RNA
Source: RNAcentral